This 1347-nucleotide ribosomal RNA is filed under the name uncultured bacterium. RNAcentral's name for it is "bacterial SSU rRNA". It matches the Rfam family "Bacterial small subunit ribosomal RNA", at positions 29 to 1391 of the family's 1533-position model. The record is from RNAcentral.
ACGAACGCUGGCGGCGUGCUUAACACAUGCAAGUCGAGCGGAAAGGCCCUUCGGGGUACUCGAGCGGCGAACGGGUGAGUAACACGUGAGUAACCUACCUCGAACUCUGGGAUAAGCCUGGGAAACUGGGUCUAAUACCGGAUGUUCAUCUCCUGCUGCAUGGUGGGGGAUGGAAAGUGUUUAGCGGUUCGGGAUGGGCUCGCGGCCUAUCAGCUUGUUGGUGAGGUAAUGGCUUACCAAGGCUUUUACGGGUAGCCGGCCUGAGAGGGCGACCGGCCACACUGGGACUGAGAUACGGCCCAGACUCCUACGGGAGGCAGCAGUGGGGAAUAUUGCGCAAUGGGCGGAAGCCUGACGCAGCAACGCCGUGUGAGGGAUGACGGCCUUCGGGUUGUAAACCUCUUUCACCAGGGACGAAGCUUUUGUGACGGUACCUGGGGAAGAAGCGCCGGCCAACUACGUGCCAGCAGCCGCGGUAACACGUAGGGCGCGAGCGUUGUCCGGAAUUAUUGGGCGUAAAGGGCUCGUAGGCGGUUUGUCGCGUCGAAAGUGAAAAUCUGGGGCUCAACUCCGGACUUGCUUUCGAUACGGGCAGGCUAGAGGUAGGCAGGGGAGAAUGGAAUUCCUGGUGUAGCGGUGGAAUGCGCAGAUAUCAGGAGGAACACCGGUGGCGAAGGCGGUUCUCUGGGCCUUACCUGACGCUGAGGAGCGAAAGCGUGGGGAGCGAACAGGAUUAGAUACCCUGGUAGUCCACGCUGUAAACGUUGGGCGCUAGGUGUGGGAGUCUUUUGUGACGUCCGUGCCGUAGCUAACGCAUUAAGCGCCCCGCCUGGGGAGUACGGUCGCAAGACUAAAACUCAAAGGAAUUGACGGGGGCCCGCACAAGCGGCGGAGCAUGUUGCUUAAUUCGAGGCAACGCGAAGAACCUUACCUGGGUUUGACAUGUGGGUUAAUCCGGCAGAGAUGUCGGGUCCUUUUGGGAACUCAUGCAGGUGGUGCAUGGCUGUCGUCAGCUCGUGUCGUGAGAUGUUGGGUUAAGUCCCGCAACGAGCGCAACCCUCGUCCUAUGUUGCCAGCACGUUAUGGUGGGGACUCAUAGGAGACUGCCGGGGUCAACUCGGAGGAAGGUGGGGAUGAUGUCAAGUCUUCAUGCCCCUUAUGUCCAGGGCUGCAAACAUGCUACAAUGGUCGGUACAAUGGGCUGCGAGACCGUGAGGUGGAGCGAAUCCCUAAAAGCCGGCCUCAGUUCGGAUCGGGGUCUGCAACUCGACCCCGUGAAGUUGGAGUCGCUAGUAAUCGCGGAUCAGCAACGCCGCGGUGAAUACGUUCCCGGGCCUUGUACUCACC